This 583-nucleotide ribosomal RNA is filed under the name uncultured Xanthobacter sp. Its description in RNAcentral is "bacterial SSU rRNA". It matches the Rfam family "Bacterial small subunit ribosomal RNA", at positions 56 to 688 of the family's 1533-position model. Lineage: Bacteria; Pseudomonadati; Pseudomonadota; Alphaproteobacteria; Hyphomicrobiales; Xanthobacteraceae. The record is from RNAcentral.
UGCAGUCGAGCGCCCAGCAAUGGGAGCGGCAGACGGGUGAGUAACGCGUGGGGAUCUACCCAUUGGUACGGAAUAACCCAGGGAAACUUGGACUAAUACCGUAUGUGCCCUUCGGGGGAAAGAUUUAUCGCCAAUGGAUGAACCCGCGUCGGAUUAGCUAGUUGGUGGGGUAAAGGCUCACCAAGGCGACGAUCCGUAGCUGGUCUGAGAGGAUGAUCAGCCACACUGGGACUGAGACACGGCCCAGACUCCUACGGGAGGCAGCAGUGGGGAAUAUUGGACAAUGGGCGCAAGCCUGAUCCAGCCAUGCCGCGUGAGUGAUGAAGGCCUUAGGGUUGUAAAGCUCUUUCGCCGGUGAAGAUAAUGACGGUAACCGGAGAAGAAGCCCCGGCUAACUUCGUGCCAGCAGCCGCGGUAAUACGAAGGGGGCUAGCGUUGCUCGGAAUCACUGGGCGUAAAGCGCACGUAGGCGGAUCGUUAAGUCAGGGGUGAAAUCCUGGGGCUCAACCUCAGAACUGCCCUUGAUACUGGCGAUCUCGAGUUCGAGAGAGGUUGGUGGAACUCCGAGUGUAGAGGUGAAAUU